UACAGAGGGUGCGAGCGUUACUCGGAUUUACUGGGCGUAAAGCGUGCGUAGGCGGCUGGUUAAGUCGGAUGUGAAAUCCCCGAGCUUAACUUGGGAACUGCAUUCGAUACUGGGAAGCUAGAGUAUGGGAGAGGAGGGUAGAAUUCCAGGUGUAGCGGUGAAAUGCGUAGAGAUCUGGAGGAAUACCGAUGGCGAAGGCGGCCAUCUGGACUAAUACUGACGCUGAGGUGCGAAAGCGUGGGGAGCAAACAGG
Molecule: unclassified non-coding RNA, 253 nt
Filed under: uncultured Moraxellaceae bacterium
Lineage: Bacteria; Pseudomonadati; Pseudomonadota; Gammaproteobacteria; Moraxellales; Moraxellaceae
Description: contains 16S-23S intergenic spacer region
Rfam family: Bacterial small subunit ribosomal RNA
Source: RNAcentral